Molecule: ribosomal RNA, 120 nt
Filed under: uncultured bacterium
Lineage: Bacteria
Description: partial 16S ribosomal RNA
Rfam family: Bacterial small subunit ribosomal RNA
Source: RNAcentral
GACGAACGCUGGCGGCGUGCUUAACACAUGCAAGUCACGGGGGGUAGCAAUACCAACCGGCGAACGGGUGCGUAACACGUGAGCAACCUACCGAUUUGAGGGGGAUAGCCGGCCUAACGG